Molecule: long non-coding RNA, 307 nt
Filed under: Carica papaya (papaya)
Lineage: Eukaryota; Viridiplantae; Streptophyta; Magnoliopsida; Brassicales; Caricaceae
Description: long non-coding RNA (CPAP_LNC003500)
Source: RNAcentral
ACCUAUUGCGCCUGUUCAACAGAACAAGAGGCCCAGACCGGUGAUCUAGGCUCCCCCUCAGGCUCCAGUAGCAGGACGCGGUAAGAUCUGUCAGCAUUGUGACAGGGAUCAUGGCGACCGACCUUGCUAUCGCCUCAACAACACCUGUUGCAUAUGUGGUAGUGCCCAGCAUUAUGCGAAGGAGUGCCCAACGAACCAGAAUUAGGGCAAACCUCCUAUCUAGGGUAGAGCUAACAAUCUUACCCAGCAGGAUACAGAAGCUAAUCCAGACAUGGUUCAUAGUAUGUACACUAUCUAUAACUACCUU